Molecule: ribosomal RNA, 421 nt
Filed under: Paracoccus marcusii
Lineage: Bacteria; Pseudomonadati; Pseudomonadota; Alphaproteobacteria; Rhodobacterales; Paracoccaceae
Description: bacterial SSU rRNA
Rfam family: Bacterial small subunit ribosomal RNA
Source: RNAcentral
AACGAACGCUGGCGGCAGGCUUAACACAUGCAAGUCGAGCGAGACCUUCGGGUCUAGCGGCGGACGGGUGAGUAAACGCGUGGGAACGUGCCCUUCUCUACGGAAUAGCCCCGGGAAACUGGGAGUAAUACCGUAUACGCCCUUUGGGGGAAAGAUUUAUCGGAGAAGGAUCGGCCCGCGUUGGAUUAGGUAGUUGGUGGGGUAAUGGCCCACCAAGCCGACGAUCCAUAGCUGGUUUGAGAGGAUGAUCAGCCACACUGGGACUGAGACACGGCCCAGACUCCUACGGGAGGCAGCAGUGGGGAAUCUUAGACAAUGGGGGCAACCCUGAUCUAGCCAUGCCGCGUGAGUGAUGAAGGCCUUAGGGUUGUAAAGCUCUUUCAGCUGGGAAGAUAAUGACGGUACCAGCAGAGAGCCCCGG